UUUUCCACAUUUUUCCUCUAUUUCUUCCAUCCUCAGGAGUUCGAAGUGGGUGGGAAUGUUGGAGCGGCCGAAUAGGGAGGCUUAAACGAUGGCUGGAGCUUUGUGUUGGGUAAGUUUUUCCUUUUUUUUCCUUUCAUUGCUUUCUUUUUUUGGAGAUCUAUGGGAAGGAAAGCAUUUGAGGGAGAUCGGAGGGAAAGUCUGACAUCGGUGAAAAUAGAGAGGAAGGCGACAAUAGAGACCGAC
This 243-nucleotide long non-coding RNA is filed under the name Elaeis guineensis (African oil palm). RNAcentral's name for it is "long non-coding RNA (EGUI_LNC075741)". Lineage: Eukaryota; Viridiplantae; Streptophyta; Magnoliopsida; Arecales; Arecaceae. The record is from RNAcentral.